This 253-nucleotide ribosomal RNA is filed under the name uncultured bacterium. Its description in RNAcentral is "partial 16S ribosomal RNA". It matches the Rfam family "Bacterial small subunit ribosomal RNA", at positions 524 to 776 of the family's 1533-position model. The record is from RNAcentral.
UACGUAGGGUGCGAGCGUUAAUCGGAAUUACUGGGCGUAAAGCGUGCGCAGGCGGUGAUGUAAGACAGGUGUGAAAUCCCCGGGCUUAACCUGGGAACUGCAUUUGUGACUGCAUCGCUGGAGUGCGGCAGAGGGGGAUGGAAUUCCGCGUGUAGCAGUGAAAUGCGUAGAUAUGCGGAGGAACGCCGAUGGCGAAGGCAAUCCCCUGGGCCUGCACUGACGCUCAUGCACGAAAGCGUGGGGAGCAAACAGG